UCUGCAGUAGCUGUGCCUGCAUCUCUGGAAGGGGACGAUCGCCUAAACAGUUUUAACCCCUUGUGUGCUGAAACGGUCCGUUACAAGUUCCUGAUCCAAUUAUCUCCCAGGCACAGAGGAGGGAUUAUCUGAUUUUGUAUGGGAGUGUCCUGGACCUGAGAGCCAAUGUGAUUGUGUAUUUAUUUCUACUGUGGUUUACUCUCAGGUUCAAGGGGGAGUGCCCCUUGCAUGGGGACUGUCAUAACAGGCCAGUUGUGGCUACCAUUAGACUAAGAUUCUUUUUACCCUUCAUGAAGUCUAGGCUCAUGUUUGGUGGAUUAGGGAUUGCUAUAAUCACUAUACUCCCUUGGAUCACAACAAUUACUAUUGUAAGAGCAGCCUGCUUUGCUCUCUGGACUAGGAGAGGUCUACCCACUGGAAGCUGGAUCCUGGUCUUGGGUCUAUGGUGGGUGGAGGACAGCGAGACCCCAACCAAGCAAGUGUUGUGGAAAACCCCACAAAAGUUACAUCCCCUGAUAUGGAUGACCAACAU
Molecule: non-coding RNA, 532 nt
Organism: Pelobates cultripes (western spadefoot toad)
Lineage: Eukaryota; Metazoa; Chordata; Amphibia; Anura; Pelobatidae
Source: the annotation of a GenBank genome assembly